UGCCAGACUCCUACGGGAGGCAGCAGUGGGGGAUAUUGCACAAUGGGGGAAACCCUGAUGCAGCGACGCCGCGUGGGCGAAGAAAUAUUUCGGUAUGUAAAGCCCUGUCAGCAGGGAAGAAAAUGACGGUACCUGAAGAAGAAGCCCCGGCUAACUACGUGCCAGCAGCCGCGGUAAUACGUAGGGGGCAAGCGUUAUCCGGAUUUACUGGGUGUAAAGGGGGCGCAGACGGCGACGCAAGCCAGGAGCGAAAGCCCGGGGCCCAACCCCGGGACUGCUCUUGGAACUGCGUGGCUAGAGUGCAGGAGGGGCAGGCGGAAUUCCUGGUGUAGCGGUGAAAUGCGUAGAUAUCAGGAGGAACACCGGUGGCGAAGGCGGCCUGCUGGACUGCAACUGACGUUGAGGCCCGAAAGCGUGGGGAGCAAACAGGAUUAGAUACCCUAGUAC
RNAcentral lists this ribosomal RNA (447 nucleotides) under uncultured bacterium. RNAcentral's name for it is "bacterial SSU rRNA". It matches the Rfam family "Bacterial small subunit ribosomal RNA", at positions 329 to 793 of the family's 1533-position model. The record is from RNAcentral.